Molecule: ribosomal RNA, 114 nt
Filed under: Lepisosteus oculatus (spotted gar)
Lineage: Eukaryota; Metazoa; Chordata; Actinopteri; Semionotiformes; Lepisosteidae
Source: RNAcentral
GCCAGCAGCAACUCUGCAAUUCAUAACUGGCAACCCACUGAAGCUAAGCAUGUCUGAGCCUGGCCAGUACUUGGAUGGGAAACCUCUUGGGAAAAACUAAGGUUGCUGCUGGAA